This 466-nucleotide ribosomal RNA is filed under the name Amanita suballiacea. RNAcentral's name for it is "LSU rRNA". It matches the Rfam family "Eukaryotic large subunit ribosomal RNA", at positions 147 to 612 of the family's 3401-position model. The record is from RNAcentral. Lineage: Eukaryota; Fungi; Basidiomycota; Agaricomycetes; Agaricales; Amanitaceae.
AACCUAGAGAAGUGUAACCUGUGCUGGACCGUGUACAAGUCUCCUGGAAUGGAGCAUCAUAGAGGGUGAGAAUCCCGUCUUUGACAUGGACUACCAGUGCACUGUGGUUGCACACUCAACGAGUCGAGUUGUUUGGGAAUGCAGCUCUAAAUGGGUGGUAAAUUCCAUCUAAAGCUAAAUAUUGGCGAGAGACCGAUAGCGAACAAGUACCGUGAGGGAAAGAUGAAAAGAACUUUGGAAAGAGAGUUAAACAGUAUGUGAAAUUGUUGAAAGGGAAACGCUUGAAGUCAGCUGCAUUAGCUGGGGAUCAAGCCAGCUUUUUUGCUGGGUGUACUUCCUGGUUGAUGGGCCAACAUCAGUUUUGACCAUCAGAGAAAGGCUAAGGGAAUGUGGCACCUUUAUAGGUGUGUUAUAGCCCUUGGUUGUAUGUGAUGGUUGGGACUGAGGACAGCAGCGUGCCGCAAGG